UACGUAGGGUGCAAGCGUUACUCGGAAUUACUGGGCGUAAAGCGUGCGCAGGCGGCUUUGCAAGACAGAUGUGAAAUCCCCGGGCUUAACCUGGGAACUGCAUUUGUGACUGCAUGGCUGGAGUGCGGCAGAGGGGGAUGGAAUUCCGCGUGUAGCAGUGAAAUUCGUAGAUAUCGGGAGGAAUACCAGUGGCGAAGGCGGCGACCUGGGCCAAUACUGACGCUGAGGUGCGAAAGCGUGGGGAGCAAACAGG
RNAcentral lists this ribosomal RNA (253 nucleotides) under uncultured bacterium. RNAcentral's name for it is "partial 16S ribosomal RNA". It matches the Rfam family "Bacterial small subunit ribosomal RNA", at positions 524 to 776 of the family's 1533-position model. The record is from RNAcentral.